UAUUAACUUAAUUAGGCUCGUGGAAAGCCUAUGAACGCAUACUCGACUAUACAAUACGCGAAUGAUAAUCUGCGGAGAAAAUGUGUAACGAUAAACGAUAAGGAACUGACACCGUACAAAAUACUGACAACGCCGACAAAUAUUAAAUCUUUACGAUAUAUUUUAGUUUCGUAAUUAAAUUUUUAUAUCCAUAGACGAAAUCGGAUCGAAAAACGAAUUUAAAACGACAAACGACGCGAUUUUACGCGAUUAUUAUCGUAAACAACAAACAAACGCGCCAAAUGCGACUACUAACUCUAUUUUUCAUAAUUUGAUCCUAAAAAUUUAUUCUUCGACGUUACGGAUAGUUCAGGUUUCGAAAGCGGGUUCGUAUGUGCAGACGGGCCCUUAAAAUGUGGGAUUGGGCUUGUGGGCGUUGGGCCCAAGCCCAAGCCCAUUAGAGAAAAAUCUAGUAUAUAGUCAACCUAACCCUAAAACUUCCCCAUUUGUGUUAUCAGUCGCACAUGACAAAGAUUUUACAUCCCAACCUUAUCUUCACUUUCUCCAAACAAAAAAAAUUCUCUUUAAGCGAACCAGGCCUCUCAUCUCUCUCUCUCGGCUGGAUUCGGCUAGACACCGACAACAUCGACACACUCACAUCGAACCUCAUCCCUCUCGAUCCUUUCCUGCACACCAACCCCCACCAGUUUCUCCUCCGGUGAAACCACCAGUGUUGGUUCUGUUUCGGCGGCUCUCCUUUCCGACAACACACACCAGCCGACAGCCCCCCCCCCCCUCUCCUAGUGGCAGCGGAGAACAACACACUGCCGCCAUGGCGGCGACAGCGGUAAGACAGAGACGGAGAGAGAGAGAGCUGUGGAGAUAGGUGACGAAGAGAGAGACCGAAGAAAGAGUGUGACGGCGAAAGCACCGUUUCCGGCGACGAUCUGCCGACGACAGCGCCGCCGUGGUGGCGGCGGUAGUGCCCUGGUUCGACAAAAAUUCACGAUUAUAAUUUGGUGGCUGAGAUUGAUAAGGGUUUGCGGUUUUAAUUCCAGUUUGGCUCAGAUCUGCGGCUCGGGAUCCUCGGUUCGGCUCAACGGUUAACCGGUCAAGUCGUGGGUCUCGGUUCAGUUCAGAUGUCGGCUCUGAUCACGUAGGUUCUGGUUCAGAUUUUGAGUCACGGUCAACAGUCGGUCAACAAGGUCAAAGCUCGGUCAACCGGAGUCAACUCGGUCAAACCGAGUCAACUCAGUCAAUGACAGUCAAUGAUGGUCAAACUCAGUCAAACGAAGACCCGGUAAAGUUUUAACGACGUGAAAAUUAGUAUAGAUUUCUAUAGUUUUUAGAAUUUUAGCUAGUUUACGCGACCGAGCUCGACCCGAAUCGAUUACAUAUUAGUUUACCUUCGAUACAAUUAACGAAAAUUAUUUAUA
Molecule: long non-coding RNA, 1415 nt
Organism: Helianthus annuus (common sunflower)
Lineage: Eukaryota; Viridiplantae; Streptophyta; Magnoliopsida; Asterales; Asteraceae
Exons: 2
Source: RefSeq, a predicted model, not a curated record